UUUUAUGUUUAAGAAAUGGUGGCGGUGGGUGGUGUUUCUGGGUCCGGGGAGGUUGAAGGGGAAGGGGAAGGGAAAGUGGAGAGAGAUUUUGUGUCCAGGAGGACAUUGGUAGUUAUUACUAUUUGAUGGACUUGUACACAGAGGAUCACCAGUAGCUACUAGCUAGCUAGAGUCAUUAAUUAUGUAAUACUAUAAAAUCUUGCUCUUCACUUACCUUUAUGUGAGCGGUUUUAUAACAUUCACAACUUCCACUUUUACUAGAGAUGAUUACUCACAUUCUUACCCAUCCUUUGUACUUAAAACUCAAAAAUAAACAUAGAUAAUUCAAAAUAUACAAGUUACAAAGGAGGAGAGAAUCCUUAAAUAAGAUUAAAAGCCUGUACGUGUGGCAAUACUAAGUUUGAGAGGAAUCUAGUUCUAUUAAAAAGCUAAGUUCACUUGGCCACUUCUAUGAAAUAAGAGUAG
This 465-nucleotide long non-coding RNA is filed under the name Panax ginseng (ginseng). Its description in RNAcentral is "long non-coding RNA (PGIN_LNC016588)". The record is from RNAcentral. Lineage: Eukaryota; Viridiplantae; Streptophyta; Magnoliopsida; Apiales; Araliaceae.